AUUGAACGCUGGCGGCAUGCUUUACACAUGCAAGUCGAACGGUAACAGGCCGCAAGGUGCUGACGAGUGGCGCACGGGUGAGUAAUGCAUCGGAACGUGCCCAGUCGUGGGGGAUAACUACUCGAAAGAGUAGCUAAUACCGCAUACGAUCUAUGGAUGAAAGCGGGGGACCGUAAGGCCUCGCGCGAUUGGAGCGGCCGAUGUCAGAUUAGGUAGUUGGUGGGGUAAAGGCUCACCAAGCCAACGAUCUGUAGCUGGUCUGAGAGGACGACCAGCCACACUGGAACUGAGACACGGCCCAGACUCCUACGGGAGGCAGCAGUGGGGAAUUUUGGACAAUGGGCGCAAGCCUGAUCCAGCAAUGCCGCGUGCAGGAAGAAGGCCUUCGGGUUGUAAACUGCUUUUGUACGGAACGAAACGGCUCUGGUUAAUACCCGGGGCUAAUGACGGUACCGUAAGAAUAAGCACCGGCUAACUACGUG
Molecule: ribosomal RNA, 482 nt
Filed under: uncultured bacterium
Lineage: Bacteria
Description: partial 16S ribosomal RNA
Rfam family: Bacterial small subunit ribosomal RNA
Source: RNAcentral